Long non-coding RNA from Ceratina calcarata, 5465 nucleotides. RefSeq lists it as uncharacterized. The record is from RefSeq and is a predicted model, not a curated record. NCBI's taxonomy places the organism in Eukaryota, Metazoa, Arthropoda, Insecta, Hymenoptera, Apidae. The transcript is spliced from 2 exons.
AAUAAAAUUAACGCAUUGGAGAAACUUUGAAUUGUUCUAAAUUUAGAACGGAAGGUACUUCGACUAAAAAUUCAGAAAAAAGCCUGACGGUAUGGACUGCUGUUAGCGUUAUCUCUUGGCAACGUGCGAUCAUGACUCGUUCCACUUUAACGUUGAAAGAUCCACCGUUGUCAGCAGGAUGCUUCAAAGCGUUUGAACCGUUCGCCGGGGAUGGACAGAAUAUAUUUUGCGGACGUCCGGCUAAAGGGCUGCGUUAUCGUGGCGAGUUGGCUAAAAACGAGUAAUUAAAAGUGAUAACGCUUUGUGCAGACCGUGCUCGAAACAUGGUGCACUUUUUUUUACUAGUACGGGGAAUUAACCCGGUGAGACGUUAAUGCGAGAGCAACUGUGAAAGCUGAACGGCGGAGGUUUACGCGCUUAACAUGACACGGGAAAAAAACGGGAACGUCUGAAAUUUUAGUAAAUUAACGAAGUCGACGUUGUGACGUUGAACGCUUGAAUUAGAAAAGUCGGUACAGAUGAGCGCGCAAGACGCGGUAAAAAUAAUCGGAUUACGGCUAGGGUUUUAGAAAUAUCGGUAGUAAUGAUGUUAAAUGCUACCACGAUAAUUAUGUAUGUGACAUGAUUGAAUGAUGAUUUAUGUAUCUUGUGACUUGCAGCACGUAAGUUUAUGCACAAUUGUCCGGAAUGAUGGCGAAAGUAAUGCGCAUUGGUAAAACUUACGUCUAGUUCAGGUUGAAAUGUGUUAUCAAUAGUGCUCUCAAAAGGUUUCAACCAUCGCUUGUUUCUUAUUAAAAAGUUAUUAACAUUGUAGCAUAGGUAGCCUGAAUGAUGUCCAUGAUAACAUAUUUUCUAUCUAAACUCCUCUACUAUACGGAGUAUAUCGCUCCGGCGACGUCAAAGGGAGCGAAGAACGGAAAAAGAAUGAAAGCGGAUGAGAGGUCGAGCUUAUCUGGAAAACGGUGAAAAUUGCUACUGCCCUCUCUCCUCUCCAUUUGUGUAACGGCAUUGAACGUCACCGAGGAAAAAUGCCGGAGGUCAUGGACGCGGAAAAAGAGACGCUAAACAGAAUAAGGGGAACCGAAAGGAGCGGAAGAGGAAGACGGUCGAAGGAUGGUAUUCCUGCUUCGCGCUGCGCGGAGGAUACGUGUUGUAAUCGCGUUGCUUCUUCAAUUCCGUUGUGCAUUGCAGACGAGUAUUCGAUUAACGAGAGAGAAGCUGCAAGCACCGCGGGAGUGAGGUGGCCUCGCGUCUGAUCGACGAUUGCUUCCAUUGUCAACGAUGGACCGUCAACAGCAUCUUCAAGAAAAGUAGAGCUUCGAAGCUAUUUCACUACAAUUAAGUUUUGUAAAGAUUGCAUUUAUGCUUUAUGUAUACUUUUUUUUUAAAUGAAUUUUGAAUGGUUCAUCAGUUGUGGCGGCAUGAGAGUCAUCUAUUUACCUAGAUAGUACCUAAUUCUAUUAUAAUAGAGUGUAUGGAGUGAGAAUGGCCUGCGGAUAAUUAAUUUUGUAUUUAGCUUGUAUUUUGUUGUGAAAAGUGUUUAUUGACAUCGAUUUUACGAAGUAUUUAUAUCCAAUAAACUUUCAGGUAACGUUAGUAGGAUAAAACUUUGGCUACAUUGCAUGUUUUAACGUAACAAAUAUUUAAUGACCGUGUAAUAUCAUUAGAGACCUUUUAGUAUUUUUAAUGCAAGGGUCAUAUUGCAUCGAACCAUAAUGUACGCCACUUUGAUUUAAUUUUCAGUGGGACGUUUUAUUUACAGAUUAUGUUAUUAAGAUAUUUUUUAAAUUAUUAUCAUAUAACCGAAUUUCUUAUACUUUAUUCUUACUGUGCAAUGGAAAAUUACUCGAGAGAGAAAGAAAAAUCUUUGUUUGGAAAAGCAAUUCUUUAUUUUCAUUGGCCAUACCGUCACAUUAGCUAAAGAUUCAUUCACUCUUGAAAGCACGCAGCUCGGCAGAAUCGAAUGGACGCGCAUAGAAGGAUCGGAGAUCGAGUGAAUUAAUUCUCCUUAGAAAGGCCUUUCGCUCUUCGUUCUUUUCUUCUUUCCAUUCUCUUCUUUUGGCUCGUUUUUUCCCGCAUAAUACCAUCAAAGGUAAUUAAGGGAAACCGAGAUGAUUUACGUUUUCUCCGAGCCGACUCCUUCGGGAUAUUUUUAAAUUCAAGCGGCUCGGCGGUUCUUCUUCUAGUAAGGAUUUCAAGAAUCUCCCGUUAAAAUCUCAAGACGAUUCGAGAUCUCCCUGAACGCGAUUUUUGCUCAUUUAGUGAACCUUAAAUGUCCAUUUUAUGAUAUAAUUGUAAUUACUCUUUGUCAUCCUUUUGCAUAACUGAGAUUUCACGUUCAAAUCGAGUUAGAAUCGAUCUCUACUUAAAAAAUCCGUGACUUGUUUAGAUAAAAAUCGUAUUUAAGCGGUAGAUGCGAAUACUGAUAGAAUAGUCCAACUGAUACCGCUUUGACUUGCAAACACAGCUGUAAGGAUAAUCUGCGAUCAGAUGGUUCCAAACUACGAUAAAGGAAGGGUACAGUGGUCCAGACAUCAGAGGUUGUAACGCAAAAUAACGGAUCACCCGUAAAUCUGUCCCAGAUACGAUCUCUGGUUUGCCGGAUGAAGGAGCGAGAGACGCGCGAAGAUAGUGGCCUAGUCACCUAUCUGUCCGUCCUGGCAUGAUAGUGUGAUCUCGUGUCAGUGUUCGCAACAGGUGGACGUCUCGUCUCGUCUGCCAUCGCGCUUACCAGUGCCGCGGCACCGUUGUGGCUCGUUCGCGGACGAUUAUGUGAUUUCAUGAAUUGCGAACGUGCCGAUGUGUCCCUCCGGAGAAUAACCUACCCCGUUGAGUAAUAAUGUAACGCGAGGCCGUCUGUUCAAUUAUCUCCGCCACUUACGUUCGCCUCCGAGCAGCCAGGCAUUUUGGAAAAUUAAACUUUGAUGCCUUUGUAAAGGAUGACCAAAAUGACCAAACUCUGAGUGGCUUCGGCGCCUAAAAUAUUGUUUAAAAUACUAUUCAAAAUAUUGAGAUUCGCAGAUGUUAAAUUAUCAGAACUUUUGUUAGAACUAUUCCGCGAAGCAUCCAAAGGUCAUUUCCAUUUUUCAUGUUUUCUUCGGUAGCUGGUAAAUUAUGUUAAGUCAAUAUCAAUCUCAGAAGUUGCUUUAAUUGACUUGCAACACUUUUGGUUGAAAUAGAUAUGAAAAUGUUAUUUUAAGUUGUUAGUACUCUACUGCAGAAGAUCGAUGAAUUCGCCAUUCUGAUUGUUCCUAAAGCACAAACGCUUUUGAGUAGGAUUGUUAGGCAACACUAUUCAACAAGCGAACAAGAUGGACGUGGGAAUCGAUAUUCAUCAAUAGCAAUGAGUAUUGGUAUUCACACGAUACUACGCUUACAUAUAUGUAUAUCAUUGUCCUAUAGCCAACACGCAUAUGCCUGCGUCAUGCAACUAAUGUACUGGUAAGUCUGACCAUUCGUGAUCAUCAAUUGAAUCGUGGUGUGGCGAAACGUAAUUAUUCGUAAAAUUUCUGUACACGGUUGUAUGAAAUUGAGAACCGGAAAAAAAGACUGGGUCGGCUUAAUUCAUAUGCUGCGAGAACAUGAGACGAGCAGUUGAAGUAAAGCUAAGAAAUAAGCACAUAGCGUGGAAAGAGGCAGUACAAAUAAUUUGUCACACGGUAAUUUCGUGUAGAAUUCUUAAUAACAGCUUGUGGUAGAAGUGCAGCAACAACUUUAAUUUGGAAAAUACAGUCGAGCAAUUAACUUAAGAGCACUCAGGUGCAGCUGCGAAUAACGUACAGAGUUUCUCUCCAGUUCCUGUAACGGAUCACAAGCAACCAAAUAUUACCCGGUUCAUCCAAUUUAUAAAUGGACAGUGUAAAAAGAUUAUUGGAAGUCGGUCUGUAUGUUAAAGUGUCAGACACGUUGUAUCAAUUAUUUGUAUUUUACGAUAAGUAGCAUUCGCUGUGACAAAAAUAUUUCGCAAAUAAUUAUAGAAACGUAUGUAAUCUAAGAAAUUUUUAGCCGAGAUAGACGUGAAAAUAUUUGCUUUUUAUAUUAUGAUCCAUGUUUAGUGUACAUACACCAUGUCUUAACAAGUUUUGAAAUCACUGUCAAUCUUUUAUGAAGUUCUUGAUCGAUCAAUUUCAAAAAACCUACAACUACUUCAAGACUUUAAACCGAUUUAACUUUUUAUAUCCGGAACUUAUACUGUAAGUGUAAGCUCGAAACUCUCGCGGAAGUCGCAAAUCGAUACGACGUCCAACUAAAUUGUUCAAAAAAUUACAACCUGUGUUAUAAUGUAACGAACAAAUUUUUAUUUUCGGUAUAUAAAACUUCAUUUGAUAGAUUAAAUUAGAAUUAAAGAAUAAUAAUUUAUGACAUUCUCCCAAUAACUUUCACGCUAGAAGAGAUUAGGGCAAAACCGAGUGUUUUAGGUAAGACCGGGUAUACUUGCAUUUCUAUUAUUGGGGCAGCUACCUCUGUGAAAAUGGUGUCCUUAUUUGCGAAAUGCUAUUGUUUAUAUGUAUAUAAAUUUAAAUAUACUUUUAGCCGGCGUAACGACAAGAUAUUGUUCGUGUCUUUACAUCAAAUCGAGAUGUUGCAUUUAUCGCAGAAUUUUCGAAGUAUCGAUGUUUAUAAUACCGAAUCGAUACAAACGACGAAAAUGUUAGAUUAUUUACCCUCAUCGAGAAAAAUUUCGAAUUCGCCGACAAUCGUUUAAACGACAAAAAGUGUAGUUUCUCGAAACUCUGAUCGAGCAAGGGACCCGUUUGUAAAGUGAGUAAGCUUUGAGCAUGGAAGUCGAUCGUUUCCCUAAUCGUAGUUACAAAAAGGACUCUUCUGUCGCUUCUCUUUAUGAGCUUUUUUUACUGCUUGUUUUCGCAUGAAAGGGGACCGAUAUCGAGGAACCAUUUGUAACGCGCAUCAAAUAUUGAUCUGCUCCAGUGUGGGGGUUGAAUUUCGGUUUCUAGCACACGCGAACGGUGUUGCGAUAGGGUGGGUGCAUAUUGUCGGAACAUUAUGGCAUGACUUAAUCUACAAAUGUUUAUUCCUUUUUUCUCUCGUCGCAAUGUGAAAUUUGCGUUAAAUUACAGAACGUUUUAUAUUAGGUAUACAUAGUUAUACACAUGACACGUAUAGUAUAUUCUUAGGGAACAUUAAUAUGAGAACCCACACGUUAACUAAGUUAGUGGUAAAAUAGUUGAAUAAACGUAUUAGUGUCUUUUAUCUCCUUUGUUUAAUUCGAGUAAAAAAAGUUUGGAUAUUUCAUGGCGGAGGUUUGGUUUAAGAUACGAAGGUAUUCUUUACACUUUGAAGAAUGGACAAAAUGAAUCACUUGGAACUAUCAAGCUCAAUUUACAUUCGAUAUUAUUACCUCUCGUGAAAAAUGGAUCGUAUGAAAGAUGCAUGCUUUUAACAACAGUGAACAAAGAUUCUGUCUGUCUAAAAAGAAAACUUUUCAAAUAAAACGUUGUUGGUUU